AGCAGCAUUUAUGCUGAACUUUGAUGAUUUCCCUCUUUCCCAUUGUGAACUAAAAUCCACUUUGAGAAAAGGAGAGCGUUGAAUGAGAGGAAAUGAAUUGAUCUUGUUAAUGGUGGAAAACUUCGUCUUGUUAGCCUUGACAUGUUUUGAGGAGAGAUGAGAUGAAUAAGAUGGAGAAAUAGGAGAUGAGAAUGCCAUUGUUGAUUCAAAGUAGGAGAAGAGAAGAGAACAGAAGACAGACAAGGGAAGGGAGGCU
Molecule: unclassified non-coding RNA, 256 nt
Filed under: Hevea brasiliensis (rubber tree)
Lineage: Eukaryota; Viridiplantae; Streptophyta; Magnoliopsida; Malpighiales; Euphorbiaceae
Source: RNAcentral